Molecule: ribosomal RNA, 396 nt
Filed under: uncultured bacterium
Lineage: Bacteria
Description: bacterial SSU rRNA
Rfam family: Bacterial small subunit ribosomal RNA
Source: RNAcentral
GAUGAACGCUAGCGGCAGGCUUAAUACAUGCAAGUCGUGGGGCAGCAUGAGUAGCAAUACUUGAUGGCGACCGGCAAACGGGUGAGGAACACGUACACAACCUUCCUUCAAGCGGGGAAUAGCCCAGAGAAAUUUGGAUUAAUACCCCAUAAUAUAUUUGAUAAGGCAUCUUAUUAAAUAUUAAAGCUUCGGCACUUGAUGAUGGGUGUGCGGCUGAUUAGAUAGUUGGCGGGGUAACGGCCCACCAAGUCUACGAUCAGUAGCUGAUGUGAGAGCAUGAUCAGCCACACGGGCACUGAGACACGGGCCCGACUCCUACGGGAGGCAGCAGUAAGGAUAUUGGACAAUGGACGAAAGUCUGAUCCAGCCAUGCCGCGUGAAGGAUUAAGGUCCUCU